Long non-coding RNA from Scophthalmus maximus (turbot), 703 nucleotides. RefSeq lists it as uncharacterized. Lineage: Eukaryota; Metazoa; Chordata; Actinopteri; Pleuronectiformes; Scophthalmidae. The record is from RefSeq and is a predicted model, not a curated record. The transcript is spliced from 3 exons.
AAACGCGAACCAUGAAUGCAUCAUUUUUUUUGUAAACAAAUAAAAACAAACAAAUCACGAUGAUUCAGAAGCUUGACAUGUUGCAUAACUAUUAAUAAGUUUUGUGUCUCAACAGAUUUAUGGACUAAAUUCAUCCACCGUCCACUGAGAGCUUGACAAUACAAGACAACUGAGGCAAGCUUUUAUAAAACGGGAACCUCUGCUGUCGUCUGUUGUCCGGGCAGUGGUGCGGCGAGCCGGGAUGUGAAGCCUUCCUUACCAUGGGAGCUGGUUGUGAGCCGGCCAGGAGAGAAGCCACGGUCGCUGGCAUGAGAGCUGCACAGCCACUGGCCCGGAGCUGCCGGGAGAUGAAGGACAGGUGGCCUUUUCGAAGGAGCCCAGCAACCGAGAAGGGAAAGGACCAUGCCAGGGUCUAGCAGAUAUUCGACUGCGGAGAACGAGUCCAGGAGAUGGAGAGAUUCAAUCGCUGGAAAAUCAGCUCCUGCCUCUUUAAGACCCUCUUCCCAUUGAAGCCCAGUCUGCUCUGAUUGGCCAGCUGGCCCACUCUGUUGUGAUUGGUCGACCGCUUCCAGUGCGUGUAGGAAGUUCUCUCGCUUUACCCGGCUUUGUUGGAGGUAUGUCUGCGACCGAGAACACGGUACCAACAACCAGAUAAGAACAAGCUCGUUCAUUGGUCCACCGCUUGCGCAUCGCCACGUCUCCU